GGCCUGAUGGUCAAGCGGUCAAGACGACGCCCUCUCACGGCGUAAACCCGGGUUCGAUUCCCGGUCAGGUCACUA
This 75-nucleotide transfer RNA is filed under the name Clostridium sp. CAG:7. RNAcentral's name for it is "transfer RNA-Glu(CTC)". It matches the Rfam family "tRNA". Rfam says of the family: Transfer RNA (tRNA) molecules are approximately 80 nucleotides in length. Their secondary structure includes four short double-helical elements and three loops (D, anti-codon, and T loops). RNAcentral also lists the same sequence under 3 other names. Lineage: Bacteria; Bacillati; Bacillota; Clostridia; Eubacteriales; Clostridiaceae. The record is from RNAcentral.